This 980-nucleotide ribosomal RNA is filed under the name uncultured bacterium. RNAcentral describes it as "bacterial SSU rRNA". It matches the Rfam family "Bacterial small subunit ribosomal RNA", at positions 28 to 1035 of the family's 1533-position model. The record is from RNAcentral.
GAUGAGCGCUGGCGGCGUGCCUAACACAUGCAAGUCGAGCGAUUCUCUUCGGAGAAGAGCGGCGGACGGGUGAGUAACGCGUGGGUAACCUGCCCUGUACACACGGAUAACAUACCGAAAGGUAUGCUAAUACGGGAUAACAUGAGAGAGUCACAUGGCUUUCUUAUCAAAGCUUUUGCGGUACAGGAUGGACCCGCGUCUGAUUAGCUAGUUGGUAAGGUAACGGCUUACCAAGGCGACGAUCAGUAGCCGACCUGAGAGGGUGAUCGGCCACAUUGGAACUGAGACACGGUCCAAACUCCUACGGGAGGCAGCAGUGGGGAAUAUUGCACAAUGGGCGAAAGCCUGAUGCAGCAACGCCGCGUGAGCGAUGAAGGCCUUCGGGUCGUAAAGCUCUGUCCUCAAGGAAGAUAAUGACGGUACUUGAGGAGGAAGCCCCGGCUAACUACGUGCCAGCAGCCGCGGUAAUACGUAGGGGGCUAGCGUUAUCCGGAAUUACUGGGCGUAAAGGGUGCGUAGGUGGUUUCUUAAGUCAGAGGUGAAAGGCUACGGCUCAACCGUAGUAAGCCUUUGAAACUGAGAAACUUGAGUGCAGGAGAGGAGAGUAGAAUUCCUAGUGUAGCGGUGAAAUGCGUAGAUAUUAGGAGGAAUACCAGUUGCGAAGGCGGCUCUCUGGACUGUAACUGACACUGAGGCACGAAAGCGUGGGGAGCAAACAGGAUUAGAUACCCUGGUAGUCCACGCCGUAAACGAUGAGUACUAGCUGUCGGAGGUUACCCCCUUCGGUGGCGCAGCUAACGCAUUAAGUACUCCGCCUGGGAAGUACGCUCGCAAGAGUGAAAUUCAAAGGAAUUGACGGGGACCCGCACAAGUAGCGGAGCAUGUGGUUUAAUUCGAAGCAACGCGAAGAACCUUACCUAAGCUUGACAUCCUUUUGACCUCUCCCUAAUCGGAGAUUUCCCUUCGGGGACAGAAGUGAC